ACGCCCUGUCCACAUCUCAUGUGGUAUUUUACUUAUAGACUUAUUCAGAAUUUUAUUUAAAAUAUAACAAGCCAACUCGAGUGCGUAUCUUCAAAAAAAAUUAACAGACUUGCAAAGCCCUCAUGGACUGAACCAUGUCUAACAGAAUUCGAUUCCUCCUUUCCGAUACACCAUUAUGCUGUGGUGUUUCAAGAGGGAUCCAUAUUGUGAGAGAAUCUCAUUCUCUUCUAAGUAUGUCAUAAACUCACUAGAGAGGUAUUCUCCUCCUCAGUCG
This 274-nucleotide long non-coding RNA is filed under the name Elaeis guineensis (African oil palm). Its description in RNAcentral is "long non-coding RNA (EGUI_LNC051728)". The record is from RNAcentral. Lineage: Eukaryota; Viridiplantae; Streptophyta; Magnoliopsida; Arecales; Arecaceae.